GCGCUUCUCCGCACCGGGAUCCCCAGUCCCUCAGGUUCCGACAGACCCUCCUGUCAGGCCCAUUCUCCGGGCCCCCUCAGUUGCAGUGUUAAGAUCAACAGUGUUAAGAUUAAAGCCUUGUGAUGUGCUAGCCACUACGCUGAGGAUAUGCCGUGUACUAAAAUUCCUCAGGACUCCUCACAGCUGCCCUGUAAGGAAGCGGCCAUGGCCGGGUUCUAGCGAUGCGAGGCCGAGGCUCGGGGCGCUGAGUAGCCUAGCGCGUCGCCGAGGAGAGCUGGCACGUGAACCCCUUGUCGUUUGCCGUCAGAGGUGUUAUGUGGUGGCCCUCAUUCUCCAUGCAUGGAGCAGACUCUAGGAUCUGCAGUUACUGUAUGAUGAGCCCUUCUGAGUAUUUUGCUUGAGUCUCGCUGUGUCACCCAGGCUGGAGUGCAGUGGUAUGAUCUCAGCUCACUGCAACCUCCACCUACCAG
Molecule: long non-coding RNA, 470 nt
Filed under: Homo sapiens (human)
Lineage: Eukaryota; Metazoa; Chordata; Mammalia; Primates; Hominidae
Description: non-protein coding lnc-PPP4R1-2:9
Source: RNAcentral